Molecule: long non-coding RNA, 1425 nt
Filed under: Mus caroli (Ryukyu mouse)
Lineage: Eukaryota; Metazoa; Chordata; Mammalia; Rodentia; Muridae
Description: predicted gene 28095 (MGP_CAROLIEiJ_G0002299.1)
Source: RNAcentral
ACAUAAUUCUAUCCCUAUUGUCAGGUUGGGCCGAGUAGUUAGACCUUAUAGUAUUUUCUCAUUUCGCAAUGUUUGCAAAUCAAUAAGGAGAAAGCCUGAACAAUGAGGUGACAAGCUGGCCAGACCAGGCCCUCCUUAGACCCCAGUCGCCCAGGAGAGGGCCAAAUAUGGCCGAGCUUCACCACUGGCCAUGUAAGAAAGUGUCUAUCUCAUGCCUCCCUCAGUAUUAGUUCUGAGUGCUAAGUGUAGUAUGACCAGACCAAACACAGAGCCCUGGGAGAACAAUGGUCUGUCUCUGUGAGCCACUCCCCUUUGGUGCUUAUGGUCUCCUGAGCAAUGGUCACUUGGGGUGUGACUUGAAAAGGUGCAGAGGCUACCAGACUGGUCUAGGCAGGUGGACUUGGGGUAGGCAGAGCUGACUCAACAGUGGGGCCUUUUGCCUGGGUGGAGGUGUGUAGCUUGGCUCCUUUAGAGCCUCUGUAGACUGAGCACCCAAGUACAUGGGGACCAGCUAGUCACAGGGUUAAACAGAAUCUAUGAAUGAAUAUGUCAAUUGGUGACUUAUUUUUUUCUUAAAGAUGAAAGCCUGGAUUUUGUUUGGCUCCUGGGACUUCCUGUAUUCUUGCUUUUCUCCUUUUACAUCACUUCCAUCAAGAUGAUAUACUGUCUCAAGAUGAUUUCACUAAGGCUGGUGACAAAUUUGGAGAGCCCACAUUCCUAUCGCUAGCCUAGCCUCUGGCCUCAGCCUGCAUGUUUCUGGUGGAUUUCCAUAAUACAUGGCAUGCCAAUCCUGCCUGAAACUGAAGUGUUUAUUCCCACCCCACCCCACUCUUCUUUUAGAAAUGGCAACCCACUCAACCAGAUAAAGCCCCCAGGGUUCAGCCUCAUCCCACUGCUCUGCCACUUUUCUCCACCUGCCCAUUAACCAGCUCAGUUGGAUCUUUUCCAGCAUUCCUACAGACUCCAGCUCUCACCACCUGUCCAGCUUCUGGGGACACAUGGCAUCUUUCUAGCUUUCCUGCUGUCCGCCUUUCUAGCUAAAGCAUAGCCGGUGUAUGUCGGCUAAAAUACAAACAAGGCUGGCUUACUACCUUGCUCAGAACAUUCUAGGCACUUCUCAUUUCUUUUAGAAUAACUCCCAACCCCUCACUAACGGCCACAUAUGAGCACCCACCACGGGCUCCAGCACAGCAGCCUCUCCUUCUUUGAACUCACAUAAUUAUCCUGACAUACUUCCACACCCCUCCUUCCUCAGUCUUCUCUCCAGUGUCAUCUCCUACUCUCUGGUUCCAAAGGAGUGACACCACACCACAACCUGUGUCUUUUCUCCUCAAACUGACUAAAUCCCAGCAAAAAAAAAAAAGUCUCUAAAGUCUUAUCAUGUAUUUAAUAUUUGCUUCCUUCCUUAUUGUCUGUGUGUCCCAU